AUCUUACCUGGAGAGCCUGGCCAGCCCACCUGGACCCAAGGAUGUCCCUGCUGUCAAACUGCUCCUGUCAGACUUGCUCCUGAUAUGACGUUUAUACUGCCACUCACCCUUGGCCCUUUCCGGAAGUUUUACCAUGUCACGAAAGGCAAAGACAGAUGGAGGAAAUGUCUAGGGAAGAGGACACUAAGGGGACUGGACAACUGAAUGCAGUACGUGAUCUAGGACACGGUCUGGGAGUUUUUGUCGUUGCUGUUAAAAAAUACAUUGGGACAACUGGCAAAAUAUGAAUAAGAGGAGAACACAAGCUUCUGAGGAUUUGAGUGACAUGUGGUGCAACACCCAGGUGUGAGGGCCCCGGUGCAUCCGCCCUAAGUUUGUGAGCAGAAAAGGCUCCGAAAGGGACGCAUGCCUCAGGCCCUGCCUCUGGCUGCAGGACAAAUACCAGAACCUUCCAAGCUCCAGAAUCACAUUUCCCACUUCUCUCAGAAUUGUGACCAACCAGCAGUUGAUUCUGCCUUCGAGGGCGAGUUCAAGUUAAUGUUGUGACCCAUGGACAUGGGGGGCU
Long non-coding RNA from Ailuropoda melanoleuca (giant panda), 565 nucleotides. RefSeq lists it as uncharacterized. The transcript has 3 exons. The record is from RefSeq and is a predicted model, not a curated record. NCBI's taxonomy places the organism in Eukaryota, Metazoa, Chordata, Mammalia, Carnivora, Ursidae.